AUUCAUCUGACGAGUCCCAAAUAAGACGAAACGGACGUCUUAGAU
RNAcentral lists this non-coding RNA (45 nucleotides) under Schistosoma margrebowiei. The record is from RNAcentral. Lineage: Eukaryota; Metazoa; Platyhelminthes; Trematoda; Strigeidida; Schistosomatidae.